GGGUUGUGAGGUUAAGCGACUAAGCGUACACGGUGGAUGCCCUGGCAGUCAGAGGCGAUGAAGGACGUGCUAAUCUGCGAAAAGCGUCGGUAAGGUGAUAUGAACCGUUAGAGCCGGCGAUGUCCGAAUGGGGAAACCCAGUGGGAUUCGUACCACUAUCGUUAACUGAAUACAUAGGUUAACGAGGCGAACCGGGGGAACUGAAACAUCUAAGUACCCCGAGGAAAAGAAAUCAACCGAGAUUCCCCCAGUAGCGGCGAGCGAACGGGGAGCAGCCCAGAGUCUGAAUCAGCUUGUGUGUUAGUGGAACGGUCUGGAAAGUCCGACGGUACAGGGUGAUAGUCCCGUACACCAAAAUGCACAGGAUGUGAACUCGAAGAGUAGGGCGGGACACGUGGUAUCCUGUCUGAAUAUGGGGGGACCAUCCUCCAAGGCUAAAUACUCCUGACUGACCGAUAGUGAACCAGUACCGUGAGGGAAAGGCGAAAAGAACCCCGGCGAGGGGAGUGAAAAAGAACCUGAAACCGUGUACGUACAAGCAGUGGGAGCACCUUCGGGUGUGACUGCGUACCUUUUGUAUAAUGGGUCAGCGACUUAUAUUCUGUAGCAAGGUUAACCGUAUAGGGGAGCCGCAGGGAAACCGAGUCUUAACUGGGCGUUAAGUUGCAGGGUAUAGACCCGAAACCCGGUGAUCUAGCCAUGGGCAGGUUGAAGGUUGGGUAACACUAACUGGAGGACCGAACCGACUAAUGUUGAAAAAUUAGCGGAUGACUUGUGGCUGGGGGUGAAAGGCCAAUCAAACCGGGAGAUAGCUGGUUCUCCCCGAAAGCUAUUUAGGUAGCGCCUCGUGAACUCAUCUUCGGGGGUAGAGCACUGUUUCGGCUAGGGGGUCAUCCCGACUUACCAACCCGAUGCAAACUACGAAUACCGAAGAAUGUUAUCACGGGAGACACACGGCGGGUGCUAACGUCCGUCGUGAAGAGGGAAACAACCCAGACCGCCAGCUAAGGUCCCAAAGUCAUGGUUAAGUGGGAAACGAUGUGGGAAGGCACAGACAGCCAGGAUGUUGGCUUAGAAGCAGCCAUCAUUUAAAGAAAGCGUAAUAGCUCACUGGUCGAGUCGGCCUGCGCGGAAGAUGUAACGGGGCUAAACCAUGCACCGAAGCUGCGGCAGCGACACUAUGUGUUGUUGGGUAGGGGAGCGUUCUGUAAGCCUGCGAAGGUGUGCUGUGAGGCAUGCUGGAGGUAUCAGAAGUGCGAAUGCUGACAUAAGUAACGAUAAAGCGGGUGAAAAGCCCGCUCGCCGGAAGACCAAGGGUUCCUGUCCAACGUUAAUCGGGGCAGGGUGAGUCGACCCCUAAGGCGAGGCCGAAAGGCGUAGUCGAUGGGAAACAGGUUAAUAUUCCUGUACUUGGUGUUACUGCGAAGGGGGGACGGAGAAGGCUAUGUUAGCCGGGCGACGGUUGUCCCGGUUUAAGCAUGUAGGCUGGUUAUCCAGGCAAAUCCGGAUAAUCAAGGCUGAGGUGUGAUGACGAGGCACUACGGUGCUGAAGUAACAAAUGCCCUGCUUCCAGGAAAAGCCUCUAAGCAUCAGGUAACAUCAAAUCGUACCCCAAACCGACACAGGUGGUCAGGUAGAGAAUACCAAGGCGCUUGAGAGAACUCGGGUGAAGGAACUAGGCAAAAUGGUGCCGUAACUUCGGGAGAAGGCACGCUGGUGUGUAGGUGAAGUCCCUGCGGAUGGAGCUGAGACCAGUCGAAGAUACCAGCUGGCUGCAACUGUUUAUUAAAAACACAGCACUGUGCAAACACGAAAGUGGACGUAUACGGUGUGACGCCUGCCCGGUGCCGGAAGGUUAAUUGAUGGGGUUAUCCGUAAGGAGAAGCUCUUGAUCGAAGCCCCGGUAAACGGCGGCCGUAACUAUAACGGUCCUAAGGUAGCGAAAUUCCUUGUCGGGUAAGUUCCGACCUGCACGAAUGGCGUAAUGAUGGCCAGGCUGUCUCCACCCGAGACUCAGUGAAAUUGAACUCGCUGUGAAGAUGCAGUGUACCCGCGGCAAGACGGAAAGACCCCGUGAACCUUUACUAUAGCUUGACACUGAACAUUGAGCCUUGAUGUGUAGGAUAGGUGGGAGGCUUUGAAGCGUGGACGCCAGUCUGCGUGGAGCCAACCUUGAAAUACCACCCUUUAAUGUUUGAUGUUCUAACGUUGGCCCCUGACCGGGGUUGCGGACAGUGUCUGGUGGGUAGUUUGACUGGGGCGGUCUCCUCCCAAAGCGUAACGGAGGAGCACGAAGGUUAGCUAAUCCUGGUCGGACAUCAGGAGGUUAGUGCAAUGGCAUAAGCUAGCUUGACUGCGAGCGUGACGGCGCGAGCAGGUGCGAAAGCAGGUCAUAGUGAUCCGGUGGUUCUGAAUGGAAGGGCCAUCGCUCAACGGAUAAAAGGUACUCCGGGGAUAACAGGCUGAUACCGCCCAAGAGUUCAUAUCGACGGCGGUGUUUGGCACCUCGAUGUCGGCUCAUCACAUCCUGGGGCUGAAGUAGGUCCCAAGGGUAUGGCUGUUCGCCAUUUAAAGUGGUACGCGAGCUGGGUUUAGAACGUCGUGGCUCCUAGUACGAGAGGACCGGAGUGGACGCAUCACUGGUGUUCGGGUUGUCAUGCCAAUGGCACUGCCCGGUAGCUAAAUGCGGAAGAGAUAAGUGCUGAAAGCAUCUAAGCACGAAACUUGCCCCGAGAUGAGUUCUCCCUGAGACUUUAAGUCUCCUGAAGGAACGUUAAAGACGAUGACGUUGAUAGGCCGGGUGUGUAAGCGCAGCGAUGCGUUGAGCUAACCGGUACUAAUGAACCGUGAGGCUUAACCUUACAACGCCGAAG
This 2873-nucleotide ribosomal RNA is filed under the name Klebsiella pneumoniae subsp. pneumoniae. Its description in RNAcentral is "bacterial LSU rRNA". It matches the Rfam family "Bacterial large subunit ribosomal RNA". The record is from RNAcentral. Lineage: Bacteria; Pseudomonadati; Pseudomonadota; Gammaproteobacteria; Enterobacterales; Enterobacteriaceae.